This 429-nucleotide ribosomal RNA is filed under the name uncultured bacterium. RNAcentral describes it as "bacterial SSU rRNA". It matches the Rfam family "Bacterial small subunit ribosomal RNA", at positions 506 to 930 of the family's 1533-position model. The record is from RNAcentral.
AGCCAGCAGCCGCGGUAAUACGGAGGGUGCGAGCGUUGUCCGGAAUCAUUGGGCGUAAAGGGCGCGUAGGUGGCCCGGUCAGUCUUUGGUGAAAGCGCGGGGCUCAACCCUGCGUCGGCCAGGGAUACUGCCGCGGCUCGAGCACUGUAGAGGCAGGCGGAAUUCCGGGUGUAGCGGUGGAAUGCGUAGAGAUCCGGAAGAACACCGGUGGCGAAGGCGGCCUGCUGGGCAGUUUAGCUGACACUGAGGCGCGACAGCGUGGGGAGCAAACAGGAUUAGAUACCCUGGUAGUCCACGCCGUAAACGAUGGGCACUAGGCGCUUGGGGGAGCGACCCCCCGAGGGCCGGCGCUAACGCAUUAAGUGCCCCGCCUGGGGAGUACGGCCGCAAGGCUGAAACUCAAAGGAAUUGACGGGGGCCCGCACAAGC